CUUCCCCCUGUCAGCGGGUCUCCACUGAAUCAUCGGCAGGAGUCCCGGAUGAUCCCCCAGUCGCGCAGCCCCUCCCCCGCUCCUUCCCAACCCGCGCUGCCGCAGCCAUCGCAGACUCUAGGGGAGGGAGCGAUGUUCUCUCCUACCAUUCCAGCACCUCCGAAGGUGUAAGGAGCUCAUGCCCCACCUUCCGCCUCCCCACACGCAGUCCAUAGACCUGCCAGCAGGGAGUUUUUUCUGAGCUUUGCUUUGCAGAUUGUAUCAAUGUCAAUGCCUCUGCUGACGACUACCAAUACAGAAUGGGAAUCCAUGUCGACAUUCUUCCUUCAAGAGUUUUGGAACUCACCCCUAACUUUUCAUGGAAAUGGCCUGCUACUUGUUCUGUGACCUACUGAUGAUAUAUUUUACUUUGAAGCACAGCCAGGACCAGAGAGAGAGAGAGAGAGAAGAAAGAGAGAGAGAAAGGUGAGGAUAUAUUUACAAAGAAGAAAAAUAGCAAAACCUGAUUGCUAAAGAUUUGAAAUCAAAUGAUGAAUUUGUUUUUAAAGUACUUCAUAUAAUUGAAGCCAGAUCUCCACUUAGAAUUCUGUUAGGAAAUGUGGUUAACAAGAUGCGAAUGUACAUGUCUGUAAUAUCAAGUUGUUCUCUCAGAGGCUGA
Molecule: long non-coding RNA, 658 nt
Filed under: Equus caballus (horse)
Lineage: Eukaryota; Metazoa; Chordata; Mammalia; Perissodactyla; Equidae
Description: lncRNA (ENSECAG00000041595.2)
Source: RNAcentral